RNAcentral lists this long non-coding RNA (3014 nucleotides) under Homo sapiens (human). RNAcentral describes it as "HSALNT0397442". Lineage: Eukaryota; Metazoa; Chordata; Mammalia; Primates; Hominidae. The record is from RNAcentral.
CCUCAGCCUCCCGAGUAGCUGGGACUACAGGCAUGUGCCACCAUGCCUGACCAAUUUUUGUAUUUUUAGUAGAGACAGGGUUUCACCAUGUUGGACAGGCUGGUCUCGAACUCCUGACCUCAGGUAAUCCUCCCACCUCAGCCUCCCAAAGUGCUGGGAUUACAGGUGUGAGCCACCACACCCGGCCAACCAAAUCUUUCUUUACCUCAAGGAUAAAUGAUUACUGUCACCUUGUGGUGCUGGACUUGAUAACGGUGAGAAAUUCUUCAUUGACUUAAAAAUAGGCUGAUGAUAAGACCAUCAAAGGAGGGUGGACACAGAGAAACAGCAGGUGUGGUCUGAUUCCGCCGGCUUGUCUGUCCUGUCUGGCGCCUCUCGCCACUCACCCUGGCAGAGCAGACAUGCAUCUGGGUGAUGAAAUGCACUGUCUGGAGUCAGUCCAUUCAUUUUUUUUCACCUAGACCUUUGCUACAUUGCUACAAACCUGAUCUUACACAUAUAAAUUGAGGUUUCUAAUGUACACACUUAGACUCAGCAACUGUUGAACCAGCCCUUUCAACCAUGAGAUAGUGGGAUUUAACAUAACCAUCUAUGUGAAUUGAUAGUGUUAGCAUUCUUGGAUAGUGAUAGCUCCUCAGAGUAAGUUGACUUCUGAUGAAGAGAUAGUCCAGGGAUAGAAAUUGGAUUGCUCAGUAAGACCCAGGCCUUUCCGGGGUGAAGCUGCUGGUUCUAAACAAUCCCUUGGACCUGCAGAGUCCUGAGCAAAUGGCACAAAGGUUGCUUUUUAGUGGAAAUUCACAAGGGCCUGUGGGGUGCCUGGAGGUGAUCUUUGAAUGCCUACAUGUCGUGAGCCCUGCAGACAUUCGCCACCCCAUCUGCAUUGUGGCUGCAGCACUGGGGGGGGUCACCAGGUUUAGGGGAGGAGUGUAUGUAGUCAUGGCCACACCCAGAGGCUGGCUUUUGUGCUUUGGGUUUCUUUGUUGACUGAAAAAGCGAGAAAGGUGAGCUAUUGGGAAAUUAAAAGUCCUGUGCACUCUGUGUCUUGUUUAUCAGCUUUGCCUCGGAAUGGAAAAGAAUUUGGAUAGAACAUGAGUGUUGUGUGACGGCCCCAAGAUCUUUAUUAUUUUUUUGUAUCAGAAAGCGCCAAUGCCCAGGCUUAUGUAUGUCCCAGCAGAAGCCACCGCUUGAACUAGAGGUGAACUUUGUCAUCAAGCUGUCCUGUGAGCAGGUCUGGAUCACACUCUGGCUCAGUUUUCUCAUCUGUAAAAUGAGACAUCCCCUCAUUGUGUGGCCUGGCCUUGUCUCAGGGAGCGCCCGCCGAGUGCUGCUGGGUUGGGCAGUUUUUCUGCCCAGUGGCUCUGAUGGGGGCUCAGAGCCCUGGCCUCCCCUGGGAGGACACGCUGUGCAGCCAGGACAGCUGCCGGGAGUGUGCCCAGGUCACUGCUAUGGCCUUCGCAGGGUGACUGGCAGGUAUCAAAUCAGCCCAUGAAGGAAGAUGGUGAUUUUCCUUUUUUGUAGCUAAAUUGGGCAGGCUCUUGGGAAGUAGAAAGUUCUGGUGUUUUUGCUGGUGAAGGUUUUGACUGUGGAGCUCUUCUAACACCCAUAUCAGUGUCUGUUUCUCUGCAUGUGGCUGCUGCCCUGUUGGUGGAGCUCUGGGGGCAGAGACCAGGCCGCCGUCCAGUGGCGCCCCGUGCGCACCAGCUGCCUGCUGUUUACACCCAGGUGCGCCGAGUCUCUUUCAUACAGCACAGCAAAUGAUAAUAGCUAGUGACAAUGUGUUUCCUGUGCACUCGUGAAAAUGCAGGGAGGACAACUGCAUGCUUAGAUCUGUUUCUUUUUUCAGACAUUCAAAUGUUCUAAUAUCUGAAGCUAACAUUUUGUAGGAUAUAGGAUGCUGAUUAUGUGAACAAUUAGUCAUUGGUUUUCUGUACUGCUAUGAAUAUGUCUGAUUUCAAGUUUUGGUCAAAUAUCUAAAAUGCAAGGUGAAAGUGCCUUUGUCUCUAUGCUUCUAAAAUCGCUCAUGCUUAGUUGUGGUAUGGAUGUCUUCCGCAGUGUAUCAUCAAUAAAAUUUCACUGUUUUCACAGAAAUGUUGCUUUUUACAUUUUUUAAACAGUACUUUCCCUGAAUGCCAAACACAGAAUAAAACUUUACUCACCACACUUUCUGGUUUGACUAAAACGCCCGUGAAGGCUGCUAGGGAGCCAGCGAUGCUGACUGGCAAUGCAGGCGACCCUCGUGAUGAGCACACCGGCUGUGGAGGGUUCUGGAUGGAGGCUCAGCUCUUGCCAUUCAUCCUGGCAGAUAGAUAGAUACAUGGCACGCACAUCACAGGUUCAGCACAGGGCGCCAGUACUUUACUUUUAGGGUAGGGGAGAGUGGGUGAGAAACAUUUGUACUUUAAUAUUUUUGUAUAUUUAUUUACUUUUUGAGUUGGGGUCUCUGUCAUCCAGGCUGGAGUGCAGUGGCAUGAUGAUGGCUCACUACACCCUGGACUCCAGGCUCAGGUGAUCCUCCCACCUCAGCCUCUUGAGUAGCUGGGGCUACAGGUGUGCAACACGAUGCCUGGCUAAUUUUUUUAUGUUUUUUAUAGAUUAGAUACAUGAUUUUGCCAUGUUGCCCAGGCUGGUCUUGAACUCCUGGACUCAAGCGAUCUAUCCGCCUUGGCCUCCCAAAGUGCUGAGAUUAUAGGCGUGAGCCACCACACCUGGCCAGUAAUUUACUGUUGUUUUAAAAUCUAUAGCAAUCAAUCAAUCAAUCAAAGCAAAAAUGUCAUCCAUUUUAUAUAAGAGACCUUAUUGACAUUGAGUUUAAAGAACACCUUUCAUUUAAGUGUGAUGUGCCCCUUGUUAAAUAGCUGCCACUGUAAUGGAGGCUUUUAUUCAGCCCUUCCCUAAGCAUCUGCCUCUUGUUUGUUAGGUGACAUCUCACCUGACAACAACUUUAGCAAACAAACACUUGCCACUUCCCCUUUCUAGAACCCCCACUCAGAGAACUAAGAAUAUCUAAAAAUAAC